Molecule: ribosomal RNA, 498 nt
Filed under: uncultured bacterium
Lineage: Bacteria
Description: partial 16S ribosomal RNA
Rfam family: Bacterial small subunit ribosomal RNA
Source: RNAcentral
GAUGAAUGCUGGCGGCGUGCUUAACACAUGCAAGUCGAACGGUAACAGGCCGCAAGGUGCUGACGAGUGGCGAACGGGUGAGUAAUGCAUCGGAACGUGCCCAGUCGUGGGGGAUAACGCAGCGAAAGCUGCGCUAAUACCGCAUACGAUCUAUGGAUGAAAGCGGGGGACCGUAAGGCCUCGCGCGAUUGGAGCGGCCGAUGUCAGAUUAGGUAGUUGGUGGGGUAAAGGCUCACCAAGCCGACGAUCUGUAGCUGGUCUGAGAGGACGACCAGCCACACUGGGACUGAGACACGGCCCAGACUCCUACGGGAGGCAGCAGUGGGGAAUUUUGGACAAUGGGCGCAAGCCUGAUCCAGCAAUGCCGCGUGCAGGAAGAAGGCCUUCGGGUUGUAAACUGCUUUUGUACGGAACGAAAAGGCUCUGGUUAAUACCUGGGGCUCAUGACGGUACCGUAAGAAUAAGCACCGGCUAACUACGUGCCAGCAGCCGCAGUAA